This is a long non-coding RNA of Peromyscus maniculatus bairdii (prairie deer mouse), 535 nucleotides long. RefSeq lists it as uncharacterized. The record is from RefSeq and is a predicted model, not a curated record. NCBI's taxonomy places the organism in Eukaryota, Metazoa, Chordata, Mammalia, Rodentia, Cricetidae.
UGUCCACAAAUGAUGGCCAGGCCCCAUUACUGAAGACAAUACCAACACAACUCAUUGAGCAUGGUGAAGUUGAGCCAGUGCCUACAUAGAGCCUUCACUAUGUUCUAGGGUCUUUUGUACAGGAAGGUACUCAGUACACUACCGAAAGAGAAACUUAAACACGGAGCCAGCCACAAACCCUCUGAUCCACAAUGGUGUCCUGCCUAUAAGAUAUGCUAGGACAAUGGUGGCACAAAGCUUGUGUCAGUGUCCUGCUCAGCCACCAGAGAAAUUUCCUCCCACAGCCAGACAUUAUGCAGAGAAUGAGAGACCUUGGGACACUCAGCCAUAAAUGGGAUAUCUCCAUCAAAUCCUCCCCCCGCACCUUCCCCCAGAGCUGGAAAAGAGUGUAGGAAUCAGAGGUCAUGGAGGACACCAAGAAAACAAGGCCCUCUAAAUCAUCAUGAUCAAAGUUCAUAUGAACUCACAGAGAUUGAAACAGCUUUAUGAGUUUCCUUAGAGCAUGAAAGAGUGAAUAUAUGAUUCUUGUGCUUCU